This is a non-coding RNA of Picea glauca (white spruce), 120 nucleotides long. NCBI's taxonomy places the organism in Eukaryota, Viridiplantae, Streptophyta, Pinopsida, Pinales, Pinaceae. The record is from Rfam.
GUAUGUCGAUCAUACUAGCAUUAAUGCAGCAGAUCCCAUCAUAACUCUGCAGUUAAGCACGCUUGGGCUAAAGUAGUACUAGGAUGGGUGACCUCUCGGGAAGUCCUAGUGUUGCACCCU